This 254-nucleotide ribosomal RNA is filed under the name uncultured bacterium. RNAcentral describes it as "partial 16S ribosomal RNA". It matches the Rfam family "Bacterial small subunit ribosomal RNA", at positions 524 to 776 of the family's 1533-position model. The record is from RNAcentral.
GACGGAGGGCGCAAGCGUUGUCCGGAAUUACUGGGCGUAAAGCGCGCGCAGGCGGAUGAGGCAAGUCGGAAGUGAAAUACCGGGGCUCAACCCCGGGGCUGCUUCCGAUACUCUCUGUCUAGGGACCGGUAGAGGCCGGUGGAAUUCCCGGUGUAGCGGUGGAAUGCGUAGAUAUCGGGAGGAACACCAGUGGCGAAGGCGGCCACCUGGACGGUGACUGACGCUGAGGCUCGAAAGCUGGGGGAGCAAACAGG